GAUGAAUGCUGGCGGCGUGCCUAACACAUGCAAGUCGAGCGGCAGCGAGUUUUACACUGAAUUCUGGAAGCUUCUGAGUAGUACAGAAGAUUUAUUCAAGAGUUUUGUGUAAAAUGUCGGCGAGCGGCGGACGGCUGAGUAACGCGUAGGAAUUUGCCCCAAAGUGAGGAAUAACUGCCCGAAAGGGUAGCUAAUGCCGCAUAUGGUCUUCGGAUUAAAGCCUUCGGGCGCUUUGGGAGAAGCCUGCGUUGGAUUAGGUAGUUGGUAGGGUAAUGGCCUACCAAGCCGACGAUCCAUAGCUGGUCUGAGAGGAUGAUCAGCCAGACUGGAACUGAGACACGGUCCAGACUCCUACGGGAGGCAGCAGUGAGGAAUCUUCCACAAUGGGCGAAAGCCUGAUGGAGCAACGCCGCGUGAAGGAUGAAGGCCUUUGGGUUGUAAACUUCUUUUAUGAGUGAAGAAUAUGACGGUAACUCAUGAAUAAGCACCGGCUAACUACGUG
Molecule: ribosomal RNA, 502 nt
Filed under: uncultured bacterium
Lineage: Bacteria
Description: partial 16S ribosomal RNA
Rfam family: Bacterial small subunit ribosomal RNA
Source: RNAcentral